AGUUUGAUAUGGCUCAGGAUGAACGCUAGCGGCAGGCUUAAUACAUGCAAGUCGAGGGGCAGCACGGGUAGCAAUACCUGGUGGCGACCGGCAAACGGGUGCGGAACACGUACGCAACCUUCCCAAAACUGGUAAAUAGCCCUCCGAAAGGAGGAUUAAUACACCGUAAUAUAAUUUGAUGGCAUCAUUAGAUUAUUAUAGCUCCGGCGGUUUUGGAUGGGCGUGCGCCUGAUUAGGUAGUUGGUAGGGUAACGGCCUACCAAGCCAACGAUCAGUAACUGGUGUGGGAGCACGACCAGUCACACGGGCACUGAGACACGGGCCCGACUCCUACGGGAGGCAGCAGUAAGGAAUAUUGGUCAAUGGACGCAAGUCUGAACCAGCCAUGCCGCGUGCAGGAUGAAGGCCCUCUGGGUUGUAAACUGCUUUUAUGGGGGACGAAAAAAGGGCAUUCUUGCUCACUUGACGGUACCCUAGGAAUAAGCACCGGCUAACUCCGUGCCAGCAGCCGCGGUAAUACGGAGGGUGCAAGCGUUAUCCGGAUUUACUGGGUUUAAAGGGUGCGUAGGUGGGUAGGUAAGUCAGUGGUGAAAUCUUCGAGCUUAACUCGGAAACUGCCAUUGAUACUAUUUAUCUUGAAUACUUUGGAGGUAAGCGGAAUAUGUCAUGUAGCGGUGAAAUGCUUAGAUAUGACAUAGAACACCAAUUGCGAAGGCAGCUUACUACAC
This 728-nucleotide ribosomal RNA is filed under the name uncultured bacterium. RNAcentral's name for it is "bacterial SSU rRNA". It matches the Rfam family "Bacterial small subunit ribosomal RNA", at positions 10 to 734 of the family's 1533-position model. The record is from RNAcentral.